This 492-nucleotide ribosomal RNA is filed under the name uncultured bacterium. RNAcentral describes it as "partial 16S ribosomal RNA". It matches the Rfam family "Bacterial small subunit ribosomal RNA", at positions 28 to 507 of the family's 1533-position model. The record is from RNAcentral.
GAUGAACGCUAGCUACAGGCUUAACACAUGCCAGUCGAGGGGAAACGACAUCGAAAGCUUGCUUUUGAUGGGCGUCGACCGGCGCACGGGUGAGUAACGCGUAUCCAACCUGCCCAUCACUUGGGAAUAACCUUGCGAAAGUAAGACUAAUACCCAAUGAUAUCCCACGAAGGCAUCGGAAUGGGAUUAAAGAUUUAUCGGUGAUGGAUGGGGAUGCGUCUGAUUAGCUUGUUGGCGGGGUAACGGCCCACCAAGGCAACGAUCAGUAGGGGUUCUGAGAGGAAGGUCCCCCACAUUGGAACUGAGACACGGUCCAAACUCCUACGGGAGGCAGCAGUGAGGAAUAUUGGUCAAUGGGCGAGAGCCUGAACCAGCCAAGUAGCGUGCAGGAAGACGGCCCUAUGGGUUGUAAACUGCUUUUAUAAGGGAAUAAAGUGGGUCACGUGUGACUUUUUGCAUGUACCUUAUGAAUAAGGACCGGCUAAUUCCGUG